Molecule: long non-coding RNA, 398 nt
Filed under: Homo sapiens (human)
Lineage: Eukaryota; Metazoa; Chordata; Mammalia; Primates; Hominidae
Description: HSALNT0109318
Source: RNAcentral
GGUGGCGCUUUCAAGAGAGCAUAAACUGCGGUAGUGUAGGGAGGAUACAAGCUUGCCGUAGAGUUGCCUGGAUAAGUUUCUCAGACAGUGGGCAGGGCCAUAGCGCUCCCAACAGACUUUGUCCUUUGUCUUCAGCUACGAGGGAACAGUUGGCCUUUUUGGAUGAAGGUGUGAUUACUGGAAAGGAGUACUGCCAGGUGAUAAAGUAAGAAGACAAAGAUGCAGACAAUCAAAAGCAGCCACAUCAGUCUGGUGAUGGGCAAGGGAACACGUGUCAAAGCCAGCUGACCUUUACAUACAUCACGGCUAACUAGAAAACCAUUUGGUGACUUGCUAGUUCCUCGAACUUCUGGGAAAGAGAAUGGUGUUAUAGGAAUUUCGCCUUCUCCUGGUGUCGA